AGAGUUUGAUCCUGGCUCAGAGUGAACGCUGGCGGCAGGCCUAACACAUGCAAGUCGAACGGCAGCACAGCAGUAGCAAUACUGUGGGUGGCGAGUGGCGGACGGGUGAGGAAUACAUCGGAAUCUACCUUGUCGUGGGGGAUAACGUAGGGAAACUUACGCUAAUACCGCAUACGACCUACGGGUGAAAGCGGCGGACCGCAAGGCGUCGCGCGAUUGGAUGAGCCGAUGUCCGAUUAGCUAGUUGGCGGGGUAAUGGCCCACCAAGGCGACGAUCGGUAGCUGGUCUGAGAGGAUGAUCAGCCACACUGGAACUGAGACACGGUCCAGACUCCUACGGGAGGCAGCAGUGGGGAAUAUUGGACAAUGGGCGCAAGCCUGAUCCAGCCAUGCCGCGUGUGUGAAGAAGGCCUUCGGGUUGUAAAGCACUUUUGUCCGGAAAGAAAAGCAUCUGGUUAAUACCCGGGUGUUAUGACGGUACCGGAAGAAUAAGCACCGGCUAACUUCGUGCCAGCAGCCGCGGUAAUACGAAGGGUGCAAGCGUUACUCGGAAUUACUGGGCGUAAAGCGUGCGUAGGUGGUGAGUUAAGUCUGUCGUGAAAGCCCCGGGCUCAACCUGGGAAUGGCGAUGGAUACUGGCUCGCUAGAGUGCGGUAGAGGAGAGUGGAAUUCCCGGUGUAGCAGUGAAAUGCGUAGAGAUCGGGAGGAACAUCAGUUGCGAAGGCGGCUCUCUGGACCAGCACUGACACUGAGGCACGAAAGCGUGGGGGAGCAAACAGGAUUAGAUACCCUGGUAGUCC
This 800-nucleotide ribosomal RNA is filed under the name uncultured bacterium. RNAcentral's name for it is "bacterial SSU rRNA". It matches the Rfam family "Bacterial small subunit ribosomal RNA", at positions 8 to 796 of the family's 1533-position model. The record is from RNAcentral.